RNAcentral lists this small nucleolar RNA (72 nucleotides) under Tursiops truncatus (common bottlenose dolphin). RNAcentral describes it as "Small nucleolar RNA SNORD112 (ENSTTRG00000025182.1)". The record is from RNAcentral. Lineage: Eukaryota; Metazoa; Chordata; Mammalia; Artiodactyla; Delphinidae.
UGGACCAAAGGGGCUAAUGUGUCACGAACCAAAGAUUAUGAUUAAUCCAAUUCUGUGAAACUAAGAUCCAAU